RNAcentral lists this ribosomal RNA (534 nucleotides) under Clostridioides difficile. RNAcentral describes it as "bacterial LSU rRNA". It matches the Rfam family "Bacterial large subunit ribosomal RNA", at positions 1 to 538 of the family's 2925-position model. The record is from RNAcentral. Lineage: Bacteria; Bacillati; Bacillota; Clostridia; Peptostreptococcales; Peptostreptococcaceae.
UGGUCAAGUUAUUAAGGGUGCAGGGCGGAUGCCUUGGCACUAGGAGCCGAUGAAGGACGUGAUAAGCUGCGAUAAGCUUCGGGGAGUUGCACGUAAACUUUGAUCCGAAGAUUUCCGAAUGAGGAAACUCACUUAGAGUAAUGUCUAAGUAUCAUUAAGUGAAUACAUAGCUUAAUGAGGGGAACUCAGGGAACUGAAACAUCUAAGUACCUGAAGGAAGAGAAAGAAAUUCGAUUCCGUAAGUAGCGGCGAGCGAACGCGGAUUAGCCCAAACCAAUAAAGUUUUCUUUAUUGGGGUUGAGGACAUACCACAUAUAAGAGGUAUUAUAGACGAAGAAGUUUGGAAAAACUCAUCAUAGAAGGUAAUAAUCCUGUAGUCAAAAUAAUAAUUCUUUAGGUAUGAUCCAGAGUACCACGGGACACGUGAAACCCUGUGGGAAGCAGGAGGGACCACCCUCCAAGGCUAAAUACUACCUAGUGACCGAUAGCGUAUAGUACCGUGAGGGAAAGGUGAAAAGAACCCCGGGAGGGGAG